This 460-nucleotide ribosomal RNA is filed under the name uncultured bacterium. RNAcentral's name for it is "partial 16S ribosomal RNA". It matches the Rfam family "Bacterial small subunit ribosomal RNA", at positions 338 to 795 of the family's 1533-position model. The record is from RNAcentral.
CCUACGGGUGGCAGCAGUGAGGAAUAUUGGUCAAUGGGCGCGAGCCUGAACCAGCCAAGUAGCGUGAAGGAUGACUGCCCUACGGGUUGUAAACUUCUUUUAUAAAGGAAUAAAGUGAGGCACGUGUGCCUUUUUGUAUGUACUUUAUGAAUAAGGAUCGGCUAACUCCGUGCCAGCAGCCGCGGUAAUACGGAGGAUCCGAGCGUUAUCCGGAUUUAUUGGGUUUAAAGGGUGCGUAGAUGGGUUGUUAAGUCAGUUGUGAAAGUUUGCGGCUCAACCGUAAAAUUGCAGUUGAUACUGGCGGCCUUGAGUACAGUUGAGGUAGGCGGAAUGCGUGGUGUAGCGGUGAAAUGCUUAGAUAUCACGAAGAACUCCGAUUGCGAAGGCAGCUUGCUAAGCUACCACUGACGUUGAUGCACGAAAGUGUGGGGAUCAAACAGGAUUAGAUACCCCAGUAGUC